Molecule: ribosomal RNA, 686 nt
Filed under: uncultured bacterium
Lineage: Bacteria
Description: bacterial SSU rRNA
Rfam family: Bacterial small subunit ribosomal RNA
Source: RNAcentral
ACGCUGGCGGCGUGCCUAAUACAUGCAAGUGGAACGCAUGAUUGAUACCGGAGCUUGCUCCACCAUUAAUCAUGAGUCGCGAACGGGUGAGUAACGCGUAGGUAACCUACCUCAUAGCGGGGGAUAACUAUUGGAAACGAUAGCUAAUACCGCAUAACAGUCUUUAACCCAUGUUAGAGAUUUGAAAGGGGCAAGAGCUUCACUAUGAGAUGGACCUGCGUUGUAUUAGCUAGUUGGUGAGGUAAAGGCUCACCAAGGCGACGAUACAUAGCCGACCUGAGAGGGUGAUCGGCCACACUGGGACUGAGACACGGCCCAGACUCCUACGGGAGGCAGCAGUAGGGAAUCUUCGGCAAUGGGGGGAACCCUGACCGAGCAACGCCGCGUGAGUGAAGAAGGUUUUCGGAUCGUAAAGCUCUGUUGUUAGAGAAGAACGUGUGUGAGAGUGGAAAGUUCACACAGUGACGGUAACUAACCAGAAAGGGACGGCUAACUACGUGCCAGCAGCCGCGGUAAUACGUAGGUCCCGAGCGUUGUCCGGAUUUAUUGGGCGUAAAGCGAGCGCAGGCGGUUCUGUAAGUCUGAAGUUAAAGGCAGUGGCUUAACCAUUGUACGCUUUGGAAACUGCAGGACUUGAGUGCAGAAGGGGAGAGUGGAAUUCCAUGUGUAGCGGUGAAAUGCGUAGA